GCCCUAUGUAGCAAUGAGAGAUGGGAGUUGAGUGGAUGUGAUCCUCCUCCAUGUGUUGUAUUCUUUCUCUAUCUCUAAUAAUAUUUAUCUCUCCCGUGGAUGUAGGCAAUUUUCCGAACCACGUUAAAUAUUGUGUGCUAGUGUGCUUAGCCUCUUUUGAGCAAUGAUCAUGAAUACCACCGUUCCGCAGGGGAAGCAGAAUC
RNAcentral lists this long non-coding RNA (203 nucleotides) under Populus tremula. RNAcentral's name for it is "long non-coding RNA (PTRE_LNC001805)". The record is from RNAcentral. Lineage: Eukaryota; Viridiplantae; Streptophyta; Magnoliopsida; Malpighiales; Salicaceae.